Molecule: ribosomal RNA, 492 nt
Filed under: uncultured bacterium
Lineage: Bacteria
Description: partial 16S ribosomal RNA
Rfam family: Bacterial small subunit ribosomal RNA
Source: RNAcentral
AUUGAACGCUGGCGGCAUGCUUUACGCAUGCAAGUCGAACGGUAACAGGCCUUCGGGUGCUGACGAGUGGCGAACGGGUGAGUAAUGCAUCGGAACGUACCCAGAGGUGGGGGAUAACGCAGCGAAAGCUGUGCUAAUACCGCAUGUGAUCUGAGGAUGAAAGCGGGGGACCGAGCAGCAAUGUUUGGCCUCGCGCCUUUGGAGCGGCCGAUGUCGGAUUAGCUAGUUGGUGGGGUAAAGGCCUACCAAGGCGACGAUCCGUAGCUGGUCUGAGAGGACGACCAGCCACACUGGGACUGAGACACGGCCCAGACUCCUACGGGAGGCAGCAGUGGGGAAUUUUGGACAAUGGGCGCAAGCCUGAUCCAGCAAUGCCGCGUGCGGGAAGAAGGCCUUCGGGUUGUAAACCGCUUUUGGCAGGAACGAAACGGUGUCCGCUAAUACCGGGCGCUAAUGACGGUACCUGCAGAAUAAGCACCGGCUAACUACGUG